GUGACGGUUAAUGUUUACCAUGUUUACAGAACAAAGACGACAAAGACGUCCCGAUAAUGAAUUUAAUCAGACUGGACGAUUUUAAUUAAUUAUACUACAGUCUUUGGAAAUAAUUCGUUUUUAAGAAUCAUAGUUGAAAAAGCUUAAGAAGAUGCGGGAGGAAAUGGUUGAACUAUUUUCAGGAGGAGUCGCGGAUAGGAAGAAACGGAGAAUAAGGGUUAGGUGGACGCUCCAGGAGGGAUGGAAUUGGUUUGCCAGCCACGAGAUGUAUGCGUGGGGUGAAGUCAGUGCCACGUGCCCGCGGGCUCUCAGGGCACCCGAGAAAACCCCAUUUCUGUGCCGCAAGCUCGUGUUGUAGCUUCGAGCUUCGAUCGUGGCCAUUGCGAGUUACCUUUACCGCGUUUACUAUUCUCUAUUGUAUACCACUGCGAUACGAGAACAUAGG
Leptopilina heterotoma is the source of this 445-nucleotide long non-coding RNA. RefSeq lists it as uncharacterized. NCBI's taxonomy places the organism in Eukaryota, Metazoa, Arthropoda, Insecta, Hymenoptera, Figitidae. The record is from RefSeq and is a predicted model, not a curated record. The transcript has 3 exons.